CUCCGACGUUCUUCUCCGAUUCGCACAUCUCCAAAAUAUCGCGAUAUUAUCGGUAAUAUCGCGAUAUUGUCGAUAUUAUCGAUAAUAUCGCAAUAUUUUAACGAAAACUUAGUGGAUAAGUAUUAAAAUAUCGGUAACUCAAAAAACCAAUAUUAUCGGCAUUUCAUACCUUGGUUGGAUGGAAAAAUGAAAAGUUCAUUUUUUAUUACAACUUUGGAUGAUUAAAAUACACCGUACAAUGAGUUUGAAUUAGCAUAUUGUGCUCUUUUUAGAAUGUAUUAUGCUUCGAAAAUGGGAAUCGAACGCAAAAUUUAUAAAUUUUCUUUGCAUCCUUUUGUCUUUCUUUGAUCUAUUUUAUCUUUAGUUCAAUAUUUCCUAACUUUAAUUACUUUUUUUAAAAUUUGAAACAUUUUAUUUUAUUAUCUUUCUUCUUUGACUGAUACCUUGUCUUACAUCACAUAUGAUGUAAAACAUCACUGGAACACAUUCGAUUUUGAUUUUAAAGGAGUAUAUAAAAUUUCAAGUGUAUUCCAUUAGAAAUUUAUUUGAAAGGAAAUUAAAAAGUAAAAGAUUCGAGGGAAUUAGAGAUAUUACGUAAUGUAUAUUAAGUAUUUACAAAUAUCACUUCUCUCAUGAGAGAGAGACAUCACUAAAAUCUCUAGAAAUCAUUUGAACUUCAUCAAACUCUAUGAACUUAUAAAUCUAUUAAAAUCACUCAAACUCUAUAUAAACCUCUAGUAAACUAAAUUAAAUUAAAUUAGAAUGUCAUUUUGUCAAAAGUACGAAAGAUUCUAUAAGUCCAACUCUUAUUUACCAAAGUAAAUAAACAAAUAGUUCUAACUCCAAAUGUCCGAGAAUGACUUAUAUAAUAAGAAAAACUAAUGAAAAUGAUUUUAAAACUUUGAGUUUUAAAGAUAAGGACAAAAUAAAGGGUAACUUGAAUAGUAUCAGGAUUGACUUUUUAAUAUAAAAAUGUGGUUUUUCGUUAAAGUAAACAGUAUCGGAAGCUUUUCGUUAAAGUUCUCAUAAUAAUACGACAUACUAUUAUUAUAUUAGUCGCGAUUUUUUUGUACCAUGUAAAUUGUGUUUCUAAUACCGUGUUGGGAAAGGAUUUGAAUCCUUUCCUGAGCCUAAGGAGAGGAUCCUCCUGACCAAGAACUGUGGACCGUUGAAUUUUUAUCCAACGGCUAUAAUUAUUAUAACUUUAAAUGAAUCUCCUAUUUGUAGUCGUUGGAUAAAAAUACAACGGUCCAUAGUCCUUGGUUAGGAGACAAUCCAAAUCCAGUGGGAAAUGAUUCAAACACCUAAGGUCAUCUCCAACCGAAGGGUUCAGAGGGCCAGAGAGCUGAAAAUAGC
This 1356-nucleotide long non-coding RNA is filed under the name Malus domestica (apple). RNAcentral's name for it is "long non-coding RNA (MDOM_LNC010916)". Lineage: Eukaryota; Viridiplantae; Streptophyta; Magnoliopsida; Rosales; Rosaceae. The record is from RNAcentral.